RNAcentral lists this ribosomal RNA (492 nucleotides) under uncultured bacterium. RNAcentral's name for it is "partial 16S ribosomal RNA". It matches the Rfam family "Bacterial small subunit ribosomal RNA", at positions 29 to 507 of the family's 1533-position model. The record is from RNAcentral.
AGUGAACGCUGGCGGUAGGCCUGACACAUGCAAGUCGAACGGCAGCACAGUAAGAGCUUGCUCUUACGGGUGGCGAGUGGCGGACGGGUGAGGAAUACAUCGGAAUCUACUUUUUCGUGGGGGAUAACGUAGGGAAACUUACGCUAAUACCGCAUACGACCUACGGGUGAAAGCAGGGGAUCUUCGGAUCUUGCGCGAUUGAAUGAGCCGAUGUCGGAUUAGCUAGUUGGCGGGGUAAAGGCCCACCAAGGCGACGAUCCGUAGCUGGUCUGAGAGGAUGAUCAGCCACACUGGAACUGAGACACGGUCCAGACUCCUACGGGAGGCAGCAGUGGGGAAUAUUGGACAAUGGGCGCAAGCCUGAUCCAGCCAUACCGCGUGGGUGAAGAAGGCCUUCGGGUUGUAAAGCCCUUUUGUUGGGAAAGAAAAGCAGCAGGUUAAUACCCCGCUGUUCUGACGGUACCCAAAGAAUAAGCACCGGCUAACUUCGUG